CCCGAGCAGCUGGUAGUACAGAUGUGGCCACAGAGGACAACAGAAAAGGAAGACCCUCCUGAAGAGCAAAUCCAGGGGCCACGAAAGAAAAUGAACAAGAGAAUUUUUAUUGAAGAGCAGAACCUGGGACUGCCAGAUGGACCAACUAAAGAACUCACUUCACAACUAGGGCAGUGAGUCCUCACCAUUUCUUCUCAGCAAGAGUUGGCUGCUGUAAAAUCAGAGAGAUUAUUCAUGCCUUAUGGUUAAUAAAAGUAUCUAUAGGUAACUGAACCUUGAGGAGCCAAAUUGAGGCCUGAUGAAGGAGACUGUACAUCAUCCAGAGAGAAUGAACUUGGAGCAGGAUGCAAAGACUGCAGGGGAGAAAUCAGGGUUUUUCUGCUGGAGGAAGAAGCAGAGGGUACAUAGACAUAAGGUAUCCAAAGAAGCCCACUAUAGAAGCUGGGACAGAUUGCAUACUUAUUCUCAAUUCUUCACUCCUCCCUAUGCAGUAGAGCAGAGAAAAUCGAGUAUACCUGUGACUUGCUUUGACCAGUGGAAAGUUAGAGGGGACAAGAGCACAGGCUUUAAACAUGCCCAUAUGGGACUUCUGUGCCUACCAUGAGAACAUGCCCCAUAAUUGUUAAUGCAGGGAGAAUGAGGAGAUGUGGUGCAGACUCUUAGCCAAUCCCAAGAGCUGGGUUCAAGGGUAGCCAACACUCAUCCUAGAGAAGUGUCCCCUCUGACCUGCAGACACAUGGCCAAGAAAAAUCAAUGCAUGUUGUUGUAAACCAUUGCAUUUCAAGGCUGUUUGUGAUGCAGCAUCCUGGCUAAUAAACCAGCCAGGUCUAUUCUAACAAUUGUAGCUCAGAGUAAAGAAUGUGGGCAUCUCAUCAGCAGACAUGAUCACUAAAAAGACAGAGAAAAGAUACAAUGAGAAAACUAUAAGCAAACUCUUGGAAAUCCAACGAACAAAAUAGAAGAAAGAAGAAAGAUUAAGAAAUUUCUAGAAACAUCCUACAGUGGUCGGGAAGACUGAGAUAUUAAGCCUAGGAGAUAAAAAUGGACAGGCAGAUUCAUAUCAUGCUUAAAAAGAAACUGCAAAUGAUUGAGAAGUUUUUUUUAAAGUGGAACUAUUUCAAAAGUAAGAAAUUAGUAAAGGGACAAAGUUGUUAAUGCACCAUAAACAAGUGAUCAAAAGCAGAAAAAAAAAUGAACUGCUGUGGAAAUGGACACAGUGUGAUCCUAUUUUUAGUGGACUACUUGAGUUUUUUAAAAAAUUAGGAGGAAGGUAAAAGGUUCAGAAAAUAGAAACAGAAGUGUAAAUAAUACUAUGAAAUGGGCCUAGCUGAAACAGCUCACUUUUCAAAAGAAUACAUUAAAUGAAGAAUACAGAAUGAGAUCCUUAAAAAAAGAAGUCAGGAAAGUAUUACAUAGAGUAACUGCAAAGGCCUUCUCUCCUUAUAACACGGAAAUUGAUGUAUUUGAGAAUAAGGGUAUUAAAAAAGAUCUUUAAGAGUCUACAGGAAAUAGAAGAGCUAGGACAAAGCAUGGAUGUCAUGUAGAAUAUUUUAUGAUAAACUGCUGACCUGAGCCAAUAAUUCUUGG
Molecule: long non-coding RNA, 1587 nt
Filed under: Homo sapiens (human)
Lineage: Eukaryota; Metazoa; Chordata; Mammalia; Primates; Hominidae
Description: HSALNT0124593
Source: RNAcentral